RNAcentral lists this long non-coding RNA (1373 nucleotides) under Pan troglodytes (chimpanzee). RNAcentral's name for it is "lncRNA (ENSPTRG00000053799.1)". The record is from RNAcentral. Lineage: Eukaryota; Metazoa; Chordata; Mammalia; Primates; Hominidae.
AUGAAUCUCCAAAAUAAUCAUGCACUAUUUUUUUUUCUAUCAGGAAAAGGAUUUGCCAGUCUAUUUUCCUUCUCCACAGAGCUAGCCAUUAUUUAAAAAGGAAGAAACCUUCAAUUCUUUGCUCCCUCUGGGGUACCGUGCAUCAUUCUUCUGAGGGUAUUUUUAGCCUACAACAAAGUUGUCUUUAUUCUGCAGUUCCUUAAUCCCUUUUUCUUCUGAUACUCUGGGAAACAAAACAGUAGCUGUUCUCAGAGGAAUGCCUAGAGAAUUACAUUAAUUCAGAAAACAAGAGAUUCACCAUGUAGUUCUGUGAUCUAAAUGGAAUGAGAAGGUCACACUGUACCUAUUCUUAAAUUGCAUCGUUUGCUUCUCCCAUUGUUACUUGCAUUUUAUGCAGACUCUUACUUGUGCCAGUUAGCUACAAAUUUGGGACUGUAGUCAGUCCACUGCUCCUCCAGAUAAAUCUGAGGCAAAAUCUACUGCAUUAGCUCUAAUAGAGUCCUUUGCAAGCUUGACCUAACCUGGUCAGGAUCUGUUCUGAUUGAAUUGUAAAGCCUGUUAUGUCUCUUGCUGUACAUUUCUCUUGCUGCUAAAGUCUUCAUGUUUAGUCGGAUAUACUAAUUCUUCCAAGAUCCUGGCCGUCUCAGCCCUACCAUCGGUCUACCCUUUGAGGUGUUUGGGAUUUAACAAAAAUGAACUACUUCUCUUGCCCAUGGAUUACCGGCAUGACAACAAGGCUCAUUAUUUUCAGAAGCUUGUGACUAUGUGGGAGAAUUUAUAUGUACUUCUGUGUGAUGAAGAAUUGGAUGCAGUCUCUUUGGAAGCUGUGCACCAACAAAAGAUGAAGAAUAGACAAGCCCACUCUUCAUCAGAGAGAGAACUAAAAUAAUGAAGACCAGAACUAGACAAGUUAUCAAGACGUACUAAUUCCUUAGUUGAUAAAGAACCUGCAUGAGACAGUGAUACAUCAGAGAGAGAAAAACUUUAAGCACUGAGAGGGGACAAACUGAUGGAUUCCAUGGUAAAGUUUCCUGACACAAUUCACCUCCAGAAACGUUAAUGUUACUUAGUAGAAAAAAAUAAAAAUCUCCAUGUUUAAAAAUAAAGAUUCAACUUAAACGACCCUAUUAAUCAUGAAGAAAAUUGUCUUUAAAAUGGAAGUGUAUUAACCUCUGUGAGGUCCAGAGAAUACCUGGGGCCCAUAUAACAUAAGUCAGAAUUUUUUAACAUUAUAAACCAAGAUUAGUUAUUAAAAAUAUGUUUUAUCUUUUUACCCUGACAAAUAUGUCAGUAGAAGUCUUGAAACUGAGCACAAGUGUAGACAGAUCGCCACUCAGAAAUGGUGAUGCAAGGACCGCUGGUUUGCACCUCCU